UACGUAGGGGGCAAGCGUUGUCCGGAUUUAUUGGGCGGAAAGAGCGUGUAGGCGGCCGCACAGGUCCGUUGUGAAAACUGGAGGCUUAACCUUCAGACGUCGAUGGAAACCGUGCGGCUAGAGUCCGGAAGAGGAGAAUGGAAUUCCUGGUGUAGCGGUGAAAUGCGCAGAUAUCAGGAAGAACACCCGUGGCUAAGGCGGUUCUCUAGUACGGUACUGACGCUGAGACGCGAAAGCGUGGGGAGCGAACAGG
RNAcentral lists this ribosomal RNA (253 nucleotides) under uncultured bacterium. RNAcentral's name for it is "partial 16S ribosomal RNA". It matches the Rfam family "Bacterial small subunit ribosomal RNA", at positions 524 to 776 of the family's 1533-position model. The record is from RNAcentral.